Molecule: ribosomal RNA, 2902 nt
Filed under: Klebsiella pneumoniae
Lineage: Bacteria; Pseudomonadati; Pseudomonadota; Gammaproteobacteria; Enterobacterales; Enterobacteriaceae
Description: 23S ribosomal RNA
Rfam family: Bacterial large subunit ribosomal RNA
Source: RNAcentral
GGUUAAGCGACUAAGCGUACACGGUGGAUGCCCUGGCAGUCAGAGGCGAUGAAGGACGUGCUAAUCUGCGAAAAGCGUCGGUAAGGUGAUAUGAACCGUUAUAGCCGGCGAUGUCCGAAUGGGGAAACCCAGUGCAAUUCGUUGCACUAUCGUUAACUGAAUACAUAGGUUAACGAGGCGAACCGGGGGAACUGAAACAUCUAAGUACCCCGAGGAAAAGAAAUCAACCGAGAUUCCCCCAGUAGCGGCGAGCGAACGGGGAGCAGCCCAGAGUCUGAAUCAGCUUGUGUGUUAGUGGAACGGUCUGGAAAGUCCGACGGUACAGGGUGAUAGUCCCGUACACCAAAAUGCACAGGCUGUGAACUCGAAGAGUAGGGCGGGACACGUGGUAUCCUGUCUGAAUAUGGGGGGACCAUCCUCCAAGGCUAAAUACUCCUGACUGACCGAUAGUGAACCAGUACCGUGAGGGAAAGGCGAAAAGAACCCCGGCGAGGGGAGUGAAAAAGAACCUGAAACCGUGUACGUACAAGCAGUGGGAGCACCUUCGGGUGUGACUGCGUACCUUUUGUAUAAUGGGUCAGCGACUUAUAUUCUGUAGCAAGGUUAACCGUAUAGGGGAGCCGCAGGGAAACCGAGUCUUAACUGGGCGUUAAGUUGCAGGGUAUAGACCCGAAACCCGGUGAUCUAGCCAUGGGCAGGUUGAAGGUUGGGUAACACUAACUGGAGGACCGAACCGACUAAUGUUGAAAAAUUAGCGGAUGACUUGUGGCUGGGGGUGAAAGGCCAAUCAAACCGGGAGAUAGCUGGUUCUCCCCGAAAGCUAUUUAGGUAGCGCCUCGUGAACUCAUCUUCGGGGGUAGAGCACUGUUUCGGCUAGGGGGUCAUCCCGACUUACCAACCCGAUGCAAACUACGAAUACCGAAGAAUGUUAUCACGGGAGACACACGGCGGGUGCUAACGUCCGUCGUGAAGAGGGAAACAACCCAGACCGCCAGCUAAGGUCCCAAAGUCAUGGUUAAGUGGGAAACGAUGUGGGAAGGCACAGACAGCCAGGAUGUUGGCUUAGAAGCAGCCAUCAUUUAAAGAAAGCGUAAUAGCUCACUGGUCGAGUCGGCCUGCGCGGAAGAUGUAACGGGGCUAAACCAUGCACCGAAGCUGCGGCAGCGACACUAUGUGUUGUUGGGUAGGGGAGCGUUCUGUAAGCCUGCGAAGGUGACCUGUGAGGGUUGCUGGAGGUAUCAGAAGUGCGAAUGCUGACAUAAGUAACGAUAAAGCGGGUGAAAAGCCCGCUCGCCGGAAGACCAAGGGUUCCUGUCCAACGUUAAUCGGGGCAGGGUGAGUCGACCCCUAAGGCGAGGCCGAAAGGCGUAGUCGAUGGGAAACAGGUUAAUAUUCCUGUACUUGGUGUUACUGCGAAGGGGGGACGGAGAAGGCUAUGUUAGCCGGGCGACGGUUGUCCCGGUUUAAGCAUGUAGGCUGGUUGUCCAGGCAAAUCCGGAUAAUCAAGGCUGAGGUGUGAUGACGAGGCACUACGGUGCUGAAGUAACAAAUGCCCUGCUUCCAGGAAAAGCCUCUAAGCAUCAGGUAACAUUAAAUCGUACCCCAAACCGACACAGGUGGUCAGGUAGAGAAUACCAAGGCGCUUGAGAGAACUCGGGUGAAGGAACUAGGCAAAAUGGUGCCGUAACUUCGGGAGAAGGCACGCUGGUGUGUAGGUGAAGUCCCUGCGGAUGGAGCUGAGACCAGUCGAAGAUACCAGCUGGCUGCAACUGUUUAUUAAAAACACAGCACUGUGCAAACACGAAAGUGGACGUAUACGGUGUGACGCCUGCCCGGUGCCGGAAGGUUAAUUGAUGGGGUUAUCCGUAAGGAGAAGCUCUUGAUCGAAGCCCCGGUAAACGGCGGCCGUAACUAUAACGGUCCUAAGGUAGCGAAAUUCCUUGUCGGGUAAGUUCCGACCUGCACGAAUGGCGUAAUGAUGGCCAGGCUGUCUCCACCCGAGACUCAGUGAAAUUGAACUCGCUGUGAAGAUGCAGUGUACCCGCGGCAAGACGGAAAGACCCCGUGAACCUUUACUAUAGCUUGACACUGAACAUUGAGCCUUGAUGUGUAGGAUAGGUGGGAGGCUUUGAAGCGUGGACGCCAGUCUGCGUGGAGCCAACCUUGAAAUACCACCCUUUAAUGUUUGAUGUUCUAACGUUGGCCCCUUACCGGGGUUGCGGACAGUGUCUGGUGGGUAGUUUGACUGGGGCGGUCUCCUCCCAAAGCGUAACGGAGGAGCACGAAGGUUAGCUAAUCCUGGUCGGACAUCAGGAGGUUAGUGCAAUGGCAUAAGCUAGCUUGACUGCGAGCGUGACGGCGCGAGCAGGUGCGAAAGCAGGUCAUAGUGAUCCGGUGGUUCUGAAUGGAAGGGCCAUCGCUCAACGGAUAAAAGGUACUCCGGGGAUAACAGGCUGAUACCGCCCAAGAGUUCAUAUCGACGGCGGUGUUUGGCACCUCGAUGUCGGCUCAUCACAUCCUGGGGCUGAAGUAGGUCCCAAGGGUAUGGCUGUUCGCCAUUUAAAGUGGUACGCGAGCUGGGUUUAGAACGUCGUGAGACAGUUCGGUCCCUAUCUGCCGUGGGCGCUGGAGAAUUGAGGGGGGCUGCUCCUAGUACGAGAGGACCGGAGUGGACGCAUCACUGGUGUUCGGGUUGUCAUGCCAAUGGCACUGCCCGGUAGCUAAAUGCGGAAGAGAUAAGUGCUGAAAGCAUCUAAGCACGAAACUUGCCCCGAGAUGAGUUCUCCCUGAGACUUUAAGUCUCCUGAAGGAACGUUAAAGACGAUGACGUUGAUAGGCCGGGUGUGUAAGCGCAGCGAUGCGUUGAGCUAACCGGUACUAAUGAACCGUGAGGCUUAACCUU